CCUCCCCUCCCCCAUUUUCAUUUUUACUCGUCAAAUGGGGAUACCCAGGCGUUAUAGUGUUAAUUAUUAACUAAAUAAGAAUAUGGAACGUCGACCAAAAAUAUAUAUUAGCAGAAAAUUAUAAUUAAAAGAGGGGUAUUUUCAGUAACUCUAAAAUCAGGUUUCCAUUUGGUCUGGGCGAUUGUAAUCAUGUUUAACGGCAGAGAAUUAAUAUUAGUGUUUGGAGCCAGGUGCCGUUUGUGGUCCAAGGCUGUAACUAGACUUGAUGGCACGAAGUAUUGCCAUAGCAGCUGCGCAGCAACGAGAGUAACAAUCAGUAAUAUUAGCAGCAAAAGGAGAUAGCUUGACAAUUCUGGACAUUCUGCCAAGACAUACCUCCGGCACAAGUCACACUGACAAGUCAGUGGAAAAGAAAAUACAGUCAAUGUAUAGUGGUCUAUAUAUACAUCCUAUUUUAUGUGAGAUUAAAAAUUAUAUAAAAUAAAAUGACAUACUACCAGAUAAAAUCCUCUAGAAUAAACAUGAGUGGGUGGGUAGAGAAAAGGUAUCUAAACGCUAAACUUGCUGCAGCUAGACAAAGCAUACAAUGGCAGAAUGAAUACCCAGACCGAAGCACUGAUCACAAGGCGUGAAACAACCCCCUUUGAUCGAUAUGACGUCACAGACUCCACUCAGCGGAUGUGGCCUGCAUAUACAUUCGCCGUUAACCUUGCUUAAAUGUAUUUAACCACAUCAAGAUAGCUGAUGUAAUAACACAUUGUCAAUUUAUCUCUGCAAUCAGUAAAGACUGAUUUGCAUACAGCACACAGAAGACAAGAUAAAUCCGGACUCCAGAAAUUUCACAUCAGUGACCAUGAUUUAG
Molecule: non-coding RNA, 862 nt
Organism: Paramuricea clavata
Lineage: Eukaryota; Metazoa; Cnidaria; Anthozoa; Malacalcyonacea; Plexauridae
Source: the annotation of a GenBank genome assembly